Molecule: RNase P RNA, 314 nt
Filed under: Patescibacteria group bacterium
Lineage: Bacteria
Description: RNase P RNA component class A
Rfam family: Bacterial RNase P class A
About the family: Ribonuclease P (RNase P) is a ubiquitous endoribonuclease, found in archaea, bacteria and eukarya as well as chloroplasts and mitochondria. Its best characterised activity is the generation of mature 5'-ends of tRNAs by cleaving the 5'-leader elements of precursor-tRNAs.
Source: RNAcentral
GCAGGAAGGUGGUUGAUCGCGGUGUAUUUAUACAUCGAGGAAAGUCCAGACUGCAUAAAGCAGGGGGACGGGGCGUAAGCUCCGACAGGUAACUGCUGGUCCCUUCACAGGGCAGAGGGUGAAUUAACAUCUUCUGAGAGCAACAGAGACGAGUUUUGUUAGACCCUAAAGGUUUAAUAAAGGUGAAACGGGCAAUCCCACCCCGCAGCAAUCUACGAUCGCACCGCUUUGAGCUUGCUUGGCAAGGUGCAAAGAUAGAGCUUAGAUAGAUGAUCAACGAGAAACAGGAUCUGGCUUAUUACCUUCCUGCAGAU